GAUCAUGGCUCAGAUUGAACGCUGGCGGCAUGCUUUACACAUGCAAGUCAAACGGUAACAGGUUAAGCUGACGAGUGGCGAACGGGUGAGUAAUGCAUCGGAACGUGCCCAGUCGUGGGGGAUAACGCAGCGAAAGCUGUGCUAAUACCGCAUACGAUCUAUGGAUAAAGCGGGGGACCGUAAGGCCUCGCGCGAUUGGAGCGGCCGAUGUCAGAUUAGCCAGUUGGUGGGGUAAUGGCUUACCAAGACUAUGACACAUAACUGGUUUGAGAGGACGACCAGCCACACUGGGACUGAGACACGGCCCAGACUCCUACGGGAGGCAGCAGUGGGGAAUUUUGGACAAUGGGCGCAAGCCUGAUCCAGCAAUGCCGCGUGCAGGAAGAAGGCCUUCGGGUUGUAAACUGCUUUUGUCAGGGAAGAAAUCCUCUAGGUUAAUACCCUUGGGGGAUGACGGUACCUGAAGAAUAAGCACCGGCUAACUACGUG
This 489-nucleotide ribosomal RNA is filed under the name uncultured bacterium. RNAcentral's name for it is "bacterial SSU rRNA". It matches the Rfam family "Bacterial small subunit ribosomal RNA", at positions 15 to 507 of the family's 1533-position model. The record is from RNAcentral.